UGCUGCUUGGCGGCGGCGAUGGCGGCCGGGAUGGAGCCCCCGAACCACAUCAUGGUGACCGCCGGGCUCCGAAGCCGCGACAGCCCCACUGCGCAUGCGCCGCGACCGCCGCUCCGCCGCGCCAACCUCCCGUCACGCGCCUGCGCCGGAGGCCCGAGCCCCGCCUUCUGAUUGGCGCCCGCGGGCACCGCGUGCCCUCCCUUGGUCGCGCGCUCGAUGGCGGCAGAUUCACCUCAGCCUGUGGGGGCGACGGGCGCCAUGUUGGGCUCUUCGCGCUUUGCCUCCGGGCGGUUUGUACCGCUCUGUUCGGGGGUGCGUCGGGCUCGAGGGGGCUCUGAAGCACCGCUACCCUGUGGUUGCCGAAAGGAAAAGGGGCCUGCGCACACGUGGUGUGUGGUGAGGGGCUGUGCGGGCAGGGGAGACACAGCUCACUCGGGAAGGCCAGGGCUGCGUGACGAGAAGCUGACAGAAAGUGGUGCUCUGUGGAAAAGAAGCGAACGUGGCUUACACGGGGCCUCCAGGCUCACUGCGAGAAGAUGAGCGCAGCCGAGCCGUGAGGCAGCGCUGCUCAGGGACGUGCCUUAGAAAGCACGAUUCUCUACAAUUCCUACACCACUUCAAACAAGAAAGAAUUCCGUUGAAGCAUACCAAGGGGAGGGCCCACUGACGUCCGGAUUGGUAACUUCUGUGAGGGCGUGCUCUUUGUACAGCCGGGUCACUGGGCUGCGGCAGUUGCAACGCCUCGAGGGCUCCUGGAGCAAAGUCCCUGAGAAGCUGCAAAUAGAGCGUUUGUAGAGCCGGACGGGGAUCAGGCCGGGCUGGUUGCACGGUGAAGAACCCCAGAGGACAGAAAGCAGCACGUGGAUUAAGGUCCCUGAAUUUACUGCCCUGCAAUCACCAACUUCCCACUCCACUGAGACGUCCCAGUAUGCACUGGGUUGUUGAUGUCAGUAACAUCACUGAUCGGCGCUGGAGCCGGGAAUCUGCCUAUGAGGAAAAGGUAAGUUUGGUUUUAUUCAACAUGGAGCAGAUCUCCAAGGUUUUCUUUCUAAAUUCUUAUUUUAUAUCCGAAGUGAUUUAAAAUAAGAAUACUGAAAACAUUAAGACUCUUCUUGUCUGCAGGUUGGAUGAAAUGCCUGCUAAUUAGUAACUAUGCCUACAUGGGGCUUCCAGAGGCCAAUUAAAAAAAAGCGAUAAUCAAUUAAAAAAUAACAAGAAACCAUAUUUUAAAAGUUCUUAUUCCACACUUGUAUGUGUGAAGCUUCAGUCUAGGGAUGCCGGUAGAUGCAAAGAUAACGGAUUUGAAAUGUAUGCCUUUGUAAUUAAUUUCUGAUAGAGUAUGUAGAGCCAAACCAAAAACAAAUACAAAAAGAUUAAAGUUUAUCUAACGUAUAUUCAGGCCCUAUAUAAUUUUCUAAUAACUUCCAAGAGGGAAACUAUCUGCUUAAGUAAAAUUUCAGCAUGGUAUGUUGUUUCAGUUCUACUGACUCUUAAAUUAGGGUGGAUAAUAAAAUUUUAUUCCUUCAAAGCUGCACAGAGUCUACGAUGAGGAUGCAGGAGCUGUGAACUCCUAUUUUCAUGCUCAUGUCAGAGUACUUAAAGAAAAACGUGCCAUGCAAAUUUAUUAAGUUAAAGCUAGAAAGUAGGUAACACAAAAGUUAAAUAUAAUCAACACAUGAGCCCUUCAUCUUUCUGUGGUGAGAGAAGGAGACAGAGCAAGUGCAGAAUACAGAAUAGCUGGGUCUUGAGAACAAAACUGUCAACUAUGCAUGGAAUUCGGUGAUCCUCUGAUUUUUUCUAGUGGUUUCUCCAAGAACUCCCCAGCCAACACAAUAAAGUAGCAUGCAGAGUUGUUAACCUGGUUGAUACUUCCACUGUUUGCCUUCCUUGCUACAUUUACUUUGUGAGCCUGCAAGAUUUGCAGGCAGAGUUAUUCCAACAACAGAUUUCAAAGCCUGAGUUUUUGCAGUAGAUUUUUACAGUACAAAAACCAAAGCAAGUCUUUUCCCCUCUGUUCACCCUAUCAGAACUUGGCCCUGUUCUACGAUACGGGCUGGUCCUGCUUUGAUCCAAAUGAAAGGAGGUACUUGAAGCCGGUAUCAAUCUUUAAACAGACAAUAGUUGAUGUAAGUUCAUAUUUUAUGGAAACAGUUCAUAGGGCACCUCUGUGAGAAAAGCAACAAGAACUCUUAACAUACAGACAGCAUACUUUUUCACUGCUAAAUCUUUAAACGUGCAACAGAUCACAUUAUUACAUAACAAUCAGAACACUUCUCCUUACUGCAUGCUUCCCAAUGAACGGACAAACCCCUACUGCUGCAGAUGCAGCAUUAUUGCAUAAUAUAUCCCAAGAGAAUGUAUGUACCAUAAAGUUUUUCCAAGACUUUUACACUUACAUUCUUGUAUUGCUAGUUUUAUUUACUAUGACUGACUUCCCACUCUGGUCCACGUUGUGCUCUAAUCCAAAGUAAGCAGCUACCCUGUGCAACAGCAUUCUAUGAUAAGAUGUCAUUGGGGGAAACUUUUUUCUUGGAGCUCUGGAAGAAAGGAAUAGUAGCUUUAUUAAAUAAACAUGAACACUCUUGUUUUUUUUUUCUCCUAUAAGAGUACAGUACUUACUCAUUAUUACCAAUGAAAUCUAAAAUUUCCUGUUCUAAUUUCAGCAGCAUCAUUCUGUCCCUGAAAAUAAAAACACAGCAACUCACAUAUGAGACACUCCAAUAACUCCAGCUGUAUUCAUCUUAAGAAUACACAGAUAGUAUCUAUGAUCAAGGAAUGAUGAAAGACUGUAAACAGGACCAUCAAGUGUCUAAUACAGUAUUUAUUAAUCAUAGUACAAAGAGCCUGCAAGUAAUCUCUUCCUGGUACUAUCAAUAGAAAGUACAGUCAUCAAGAAGGCUCAAGAAGGGAAGAGUGACUAGGUUGGUUCUUGUUGGUCAGCAUGGGUAGCAAGAUUUGCAGAGGCCUCAACUGCCCCAUGAACUGUGAAUCAUAGGAUCACAGAGAAACAGAUUGAGUAAGGUGCUGGUAACAAAAGGCAUUCCUACAACAUACUUACAACUGAGUAGUUAAUAGCUGGCACACACUGCAAUGUGAUAAGAUGUUAAGAGAAUAUAACAAACUAAAACUGAAGGUGAAUGAAAUGAGUAUUAGCUGAAACACCAUAAAAUAAUCUUAAAAACGCAUAUGCCAAUUUCAAUGUCUUAUUAGCAUACAAUGAAACUAACUGUCAAAAGGUCACUGUUUGCACACAUCAGUUAAUAUGAUAGCAGGUAAACCCUCAGCAAGCCUUUGACUAUAAAUUUCUUAUUUUCACUGGGAUGAUUUAUGACUUCCAGGAGGGACAAAGUAAGGGACUAAUACAGGCCUAUGCGUUCUAAUUUUUCUAAUGUCUUCUCUAUUGGACAAAAUGUAUCGGUCCAUUAUGAUAAUCUUUUCUCUUUUGUUCCCUCCCCCACUCCUCCAACAAAAUGGAAUAUCAAUACAUUGUCACAUUGUAAAUCAUAACUAUAAUAUAAGCAACUAACAAAUAACAGGAAUAUCUUUCACAAGAGCACUACAAUUCCACUAAGCUCAUCUCUCGCCUUGUAUGUUAAGCCACAGAUGUAGUAUUAAACUCUUGAGGGAAAGAACAAACCAGAGCGUACUGCAAAUUUCAAAGCAGCAGAAUCACAUUAACUUUCCUAACAAAUGAUGAACUUCGAUUAGGUCAGAUUUGGUUUCUGACAUGUAGAUUGAAGGUGCCUAUAGCUCAUAUAUUAGGUACUAAAAGAAGCUGUCUAUAAAUUCAGCACAGGACAGGUUAAAGUGAAAGAAGGCAAUCUGGUAUCUAACAAGCAGAUGCUAAAUGAGUACAAAUUUUAAGGAGUGUUAGAGUCUCUUCAGAUAGAGCUGCACACAGACAGAACUCAUUAUUUGCUCAUUAAACACGAAAAGCAUUUACAGCAGGUCAAGGUCCUGAACCUGUGUUCAUAUAACACACAAACUACACUGGAUUGGUGUUUCAGAUAGUCUUCACAACAAAAUCUCAUCCUAAGUAACUGAUGUAAUGGGAAACAUUUAGAGGAAGAAAAUAAAAUAACAACAACAACAAUAAUAAUGAAAACCAAAACAAACAAACACUAACAAAACAUGGUGCUAUACCAAAGACAGAAAAACUGCAAGUUGAUUUUGCUGAUGCUUACCUGGGAUUGUUUUUUAACGUAUUUACUAAAAAUUCAUGAAGAUCUAUACCAGUGGAAUCUGUGUACUCUUGGCUGGAAUCUAAAGGUAGGGUGGAACAGAACAGAAUUACAUUUUGGAAAAAAACAAAACAAAACAACAAAACACCAAACCUAUCUUUUUCCCAAUUAUUGAUGAACGCUGCAUUUAUGGGUCAAUACUGUUUAACUCGUAGACACGUUGCAACAGUUGCAAUUUCCAGAGAAAAGGUUUGAAGUAAAAAAGAAAAACACCAAAGCUGAAAAACGCUGUCUCGCUGAAUUCUCCAAUUCAAGCAUAACACAACAGGCAAAAGCUUCAGUAACACUGUCUGUCUUAUUAACAAACUGCUUACAUUCUGAAGGAGUACAUUAUCAUCUUGAGUCAUCUCAUUUCCACCGACUCCCCAAAUUUUCUCCAACAUACUACACUGCACUGUUGUAUACACUUUCAUGGACCAGUAGCUGAUAUACAGAAAGACUGGAGGUUGCCCAAAGAAAUACUGUAAUUCAGCAUGUAACAGUUUAGCCUUCACUAUUGUUAUUCUGUAGUAUUAACAUUUUAUUGGUCUUGCUUUCCACAACAUAACAUUUAGGAAUUUCCCACAGCCUUCUGUCUUGUUCUGGGUUCAGAACAAGAAUAAAACAUUUUCUAAUAACAAUUUGUGUCACUGAAGUACUUCAACAACAAACCUUCCCUUUCAGCAGCACAUUCCAGAGUUACAGAUCUCAGAAUUAUAAGCUAGAGAUGGUUUAAUAAUUUUGGAACUGGAUUUCUUUCAAGAACUACACAAGUGUCAACCUGUGCCCAAGGUAGGCACAGCUCAAACUUAGGUGCCUCAGCCCUUGCUGUUCUAGGCCUUUUUCUGCUUAGUAUGGAGCAUAGUCCUGGCAAAUUAGCUUCUACUAGCAACAGAGGAGGGGACUACUGCACUAAGGAGCACAAGAUUCAUUGGACACAGAAUCUAAGCAGGCUUUUUUUUUUUUUAAUAAAGAAGCAAGAGCACAAUUUUUUUGUUUUCAUUUUUAGAAGGUGGGCACACACUACAAAGGUUGAGCAAGAUAGCUCUAACGCAACACAUUUGUUUCGUAAGGCAUCAUCUUGAAGACUGACGUUUAUAAAUGCAGCCAAGUUCUGCACCCUGGUGCUUUUUGUUUCAUGAAUGCCUGGUUGCCAGCUGGGAGGACAAGAUGUACAGAAACGUCACAUGAAGAAGGCCUCAUGGAAUUGAGAAAGAGACAAGACAGACAAGUUCUAGCAGUCUCAGGAGAAGAAUACUAGGUUUAAAGAUAUUUCCUACAUAUUGGUUGAUACAAGAUGCCUAGAUAUGACUUCUGUCUCCUUUAUUUAAAGCAAGAGCUGCUCAGUGAAUUGCCAACGUAUAUGCGAUAAAUGUGGCAAAAGAGAACAUGGACAGAGGUGGUGAUCAUUAAUUUCCGCAGUUCUAUUCCAGGUAGAAUAGACCUUCAAUCCAGACUGCAGGAAUAUUAACAUGCACGCAUCAUAUUUGUCAUGCUAACUUACUGAGUUCAAUCCUUACUCCGAAGGAUUUUUAUAAUCUAGAUGCCAGCAAAAGUACGUGUGUGAAUGACCAUAUAGUCAGGUGAACAAGAUACAGUGAAAUAUUAAUCAUUAACAUGUGCAAAAAUCCCCUGUGGUUCCUGCAAACAGAGCGUUCUUAGACAGAGGAACUCUGAAGAAACGAACUUUCAGUCAUCACAAAGCAACGUAUUUUUUUACAUUUCAAAACUCUUCCCUAAGACUUUUCCUCGCAAAAAAGUCAGACAAGAUCAUUAAUAAAUUCUGAAAACAGUGAUAAAAAAUACAAAUUAAAAGCAGAAUGAUGGAUAGCAAACCUCUUGAUAACAUUUUUCUGUGCAAUUUAUCACUGGACUUCUCCUUUUCCGUUUCAUCUUUUGCAGGCUUUUCUUCUUUUUCACAACACUGUGACAACUGGAUUUGAAUUUUCUCCUGUCAAAAGUAAAAGUCAGUCAUCAUGGAAAUUACUUCAGACAAUAUAUAUCUGCAGCAGAACUUUCUGCACUAUGUCACCUGCAAAAAUGAAGUAGUAACAAGGAAAGUAACUGUCUUCUUUUUCUUUCUGAUUGCACAUAUACUCUAGCCAAACAAAAUGAAGUUACUUACUAGCAAAUCAAAAACUAUUGAGAAGACACAGAAAGUAAUAUAUAUUUUAGAAUUUAGAUGCAUUUCCAGGCUCUGAAUGCUAUUUCAAAGUGAAUCUAACAUAUCUUGAGACAAAGAAAAUUCCAGUUUUCAGAGAAAUUUUAUAUACCUAUGUUUUUAGGUAGUGUGCAUCAUCUACAUUUCCCCCUCCAUUACAGAAUAAAAUGAAUACUUCAAUCUCUAAGACGGACAGCAUUACCAGAUUCACACACACAAAGAUAAAAUAUUUAGAGUAGAGAAUACCAAGGCUAAAUUUGCAAACCUUAAAACAAUCAAGGUUUAGAUUCCUCUUGUGUACUUUGACAAUGUAGCUGUGCAUGCAGUCAUCUCAAAACCGCACGUUUCUAUACAAUAUAGGUGAACUAUCGUGAAACCCAUUUCCCAGGUUGAGGAAAACAGAGCUUUCCUUUUAAAUUCAAGCGACAUAAUGGUUCCCUAACAAGUGGAAAAGUAAGAUCUUGUUCUUUGCGCCUCCUGUCUUUAACUAAACUACUAAUGAAGGACUAUCAUAUCUCAGCAAAAACAUAGUAAGAUGAGAUAAAUGGAGACAAAUUCUUUAUUGGAGUGGUGCCAAGAGGUGGACCACCAAUCCUGAUCUGUAAUAGCACCUCCCCAUUCCUUUUACCUGGAAGCUUCUCAAACAUCUGUUUUGCUUCCCCAGAGGUAACUGAGUUUAUGCUGUUACCCAUCCCCCAUUGUAGAAGAUCCAAUUCUUCCCAACCCAGCUCACAGAGCUGCCCCACAACUAUGUGCCUACCACUCUCCUAUCCUGCAAACAUAGUCAGAAUUUACCAAAGCUAAAGACUGUUCCACAUGCAAACAGCUCUCUGCACAACCUCCACUAACACAAAUUAUUUGUCACUAUAAUGUUAACAGUGACUGCUCACCUAGCAGCUAUGCAACUGCUACUUGAAAAAACACAUGGUGACUGUCAUAUUAAGAAAUUAAUUGUGCCUCAGGUCUACCAACGCAACAUGCUAUUCUUCAUUUUACAACAAUACAUGACAAAAUUAAGUAAAUUAAGAAGAUUUUUCAUAGUCUGAUUUUCUCUUAUUCGAUCUUUGAUUGGAUAGGUUUAGAGUAUAUAGCCAAAGUUCUUAAAAAAAUCAUAUAGCAAGAGUUCAGUCAAAGGAUUUCAGAGCAAGUCAUCAUUUUUAUGCUUCUUUCUGCAACAAGAGCUAAAAAAGGAGAGCCAUCUGAACAGCCAAUUCUACUACCACAAAUUCUACUUCAAAGUGUGACACAGAACUGCGUACCAAAGGGCAUUUUCUUGUGAUUUCAUGCUUUAAAACCUGUAGCAUCUAAUUAAGCAUGACCUACUUCAUGGGAAAGCCACUGAAAAAUAUUUUAGCUUCUGUUCCUUAGAAUUUUCAUUUAAUCCCACUGUAGUGAUAGCCGGUCUCUGCCAGCACACUGAUUUAACAGACUCCUUAUUGUAAAGCAAACGACCUUCCAAUCUCAAACCCUCAUUGCAGCAGCAUGAAUUAUCACCAAAUUUUGACUUAAAAAAAAGCCAAAAAGCCAAAACAAAGCAAAAAAACAAACAAACAAACCAACCAAAACCAUCAAAAUCUGAAAAAUUUCUCCAGUUUAAUACACUUGAAUGAAGAGAUAAGAGUCAAGAAGCAUUACAGAGCAGUUACUCAAAGGAUCUACGUUCUGGGUUCUCAGCUUUCACCAGCACUCUCUAAAAUCAGCCACAAUCUGAAUUUACACACAUCAAUUUAAACCAUCAUUACAGACUCGUUGUUUGUUUGUUGAUUGUCAUCUUUUGUUUUCAUUUUUCCCACUUCGGGUUGUUUCAUUUUGUUACAGAAGUUCCAUCUUUUAAAGAUCAAUUAGCUCAUUACCCACAUCAAUGUCAAGGACACAAAACCAGUUUUUUCUUAUUAAGAGCUGAAAUUAAUCAUCCUGAACUAGUAUUCAUACUUCGUAUAUCAGAGCGUACAGAAUCACAACAAUCCCAGCAGCUAAACUUAGACAAAGGAUGGCAAAAGAAUAAAGAAUCAGUGUAUUACAAAGGUAAAAUAAGCUGCAUAUAUCGCAGAGUGCUAAGGAGAGAUUCUCACAAGACAUUGCAACAAGCGUCACCUGAAGAGAAUGCUUACUAUGAGAGUCUGUGAUUUUAAACCAUGAAAUAUAUGGCGUCAUAUAGUGCAAGAGUUCUAAAAAGUCCUGAUGACUUAUGUUUGAAAUAUGCUGUGGAUGAACAGCUCAUCAAAUGAGGAUUCUCUCCUGUUGGAAUAAGAUGCAGUGACACAGCUAAGCCCUAUUGCUUCCACCCUGAUCUCCUAGUCAGUUUUGGUAGCCUUACAGGAAACAUUACAGGAUGAUAAAUCACAGUACAUGGCAUCCAUUUUUCUACUGUCUUUUCAUCUCUUACUCCACACACUGUACUACUGUUCUUAAGAAUUGGAUUUUUUAUUAAAUUAGCCGGCCCAGUUUCAAAAUUUCUCUUCAAAUUAACUCUUCAAGUACGUUAUGGAAGGACUGGGAAAAACACUGUUUUCUCAGUUCCAAGAACAAAACCUACACAGAGACUUUGUGGCUCGUCCUUAUGAUGUUUAAUUAGUUUGAGUUCUCACACUCUCUCACUCUCCAAAACUGAACGGAUCUCCCACAGCAACAACUUUUCACCCACUCCUACUGGUUCCCUUUGCUUGUUACAGAAAGGGUGACUUUUCACAAAGAUAGUUCAGAAGCUUUUCAAAUAACAGCAAAAGAAGCCAAUUUGCUUUAUGAGGAAGACAUGAAGAAUCGUUUAACUUUUGUUAGGAGUGAAGACAAGAGCAGCACGAAAAUCAUUUCAGUGCCCAUCUUCCAUACCCAAACUAGGACUGGUAAUAGUAUUGCACUCUAAGGAUACAGAUAAAGUCAGAGAAGUUGGACUUUAAAGCAUUUUAUGUAUUUUUGUCCAGUAUUUAGGAUUUUCUUUGAGGAUAUUUUAAAAUUAGUCUUCAGCAAUACCUCAGGCAUGCGUUAAGAGAACCACCAGCAAUUAUUAAUAACAUGCAUAAGUUCACUCAAAACACCAAAAUUUAAAACUGCUUAAAUCAUCUAAAUAUAAAGCUGUUAAAUUAUGCUGCACAUCAACCACACUGUUUUUCUAGCUGUCUUAAUGAAGGCACACAGCAUUAACUACCACGCACCCUGUAAUGCUGACAGAACUAACAAAGCCACCCUCUUUGCAUUCCCUGACACCAGUCACUGUAGUUCAGAAGAUUCAGAAGCAGCAGAUUCUUUACCAGCUAUCGCCAUCUCUAUUCAAGCUGUACUGAUAUACAUGUUUUUAAAAUUAAAUAUGCUAUCUACAUAUUUAAAGAGCACCCAAAAGACUUUCUUUUGAAUAGUAAGUUACUUCAAAUUGUUUCAGAAACUUCAGUAAUGCGACUUUUACCUGGAGGUCCUGUGAUAUUUCAGCUGUAGGAGGUGGUGGAUAUUCUUCACAUACAGCAAGGCUCCGAACUAACUUUAACUUUGUGUUUGACUAAAGGAAAGUAUGUAAAAUUAAAAACUAUGGCUUAUCAAAGUUCUAUAAAGAUACCAGAAGCUGUUAUUUUUCCCAUUCAAGUUAUGUAAAACAAAUUGGCUGAGAACAGCAUUUUUAAUCUUUUCAAUAAAUUACUUCCUUUAGGAAGAAAAUACCAAAGCAAUCGCAGUUUUGAAGGCACUAUCAAGCACAACAGAGCACAUCUAAUGGAAAGUAAAUAAAAUCUUUGGGAAAGUGUUUCUGUCCACAACAAUAAAAAGCCACCAAAAAUAUAAAGGCAAACCACAAAAGCAGACAACUAGGCAAGACAAAAAAAUCCAACAGAAUAAAACAAAGCUUCAUCGCCAGAAAAGAAAGGGCAAAACUAAAGACACCGUUCACAACGUAACAAGGCUUCAUAUCAAGCACGGAGGGCUUCCUCAGCAUGCCAGCACACAAGUCUACUGUACCUUCGACCUUUUUGCUGUCUGUCCAAAAGCCUGCACUGGCCGCUGAAUGAUAGGCACAACAGAAAAGGUUUAUAUUAAACUUAAUAGUUCAACUUAUUCACGUAAAAGUCUGCAUAACAAAGUUUUAACAGUUAUUACUGAUGUGAUGGUCAAGACCAUGAAAGCAACAGCAGGUGCUUUUGGCUGAAGGACUGUAUGCUUUCCCUUCUCCAAUGUGCUUGUUCUCAAGUUCUCUUUCUUCAUUUAUACCAAGUUAUUUAUAAAAAAGAUACAACAGAAGAAAUCUAACAAAUAGUAAGCAUUAAUCUCACUCAGUAAGAUCCAUGUAGUUUAAACUCCCUGCUAUCUCCUGCAUUUAAAAUUCUCAUGUCCCAAUUUCUUCGGUAGCAUGAGUUUGUUUGUAAAAAUGUUCCUCCUAUUCCUGAAACCUAUGUGGAAAAAUGAUGGUAUGAAGAGGGAAGAAGAAAAGAAAAAAGCCUCUACAGGGCAAUUAAUAUAUGUUCUAACUGUUAUUUAAUUUAUAUCUUAUAGAUAAUUAAAAGAUUAGGAGCGAUAAAGAACAACUUUAAAAUGGGUUGCUGAUCAAAAGUUUUGCUUUAGUUAAGUAGUUCACUAUCCAUGAACACGCUCUCUUCUGAGAUUCCUUCUCUUAUUAAUAGUAUCUUUUGAAAAAGAACAUUACCACAAUCGUAGGACAGUAUGCAUCACUGAAAUGUACAUUCAAAGCAUAGAGCAUUUGACAGGUUUUUACCUGCCAAGUUUGAACAAACUCCUGUGAUAGCUACGCAGGGAUACAGGCACUCACCGUGCUGUAACAUAGUUCAAGUACUGGUUUCACUACAGAACUCAAACUGAUGAAUAUAAAGGCCUUUAAUAGAUAUGGUUUCACUAAGAGUAAGCCUAAUAUUUGUAUGUGAAAAAUAACAUUUGUAAUACUGUUUCAGAUCUUGUUUAACAGACAACAUUCCCUUUUUUAUGAAAAACUAUGAAAGAACAGCUAUUUUCUGUCACUUUCCUCAAGUAUCAAGUGUCUUUUUUGCCCCAGCUUCAGUGAAGAGCAGAAGGGCUGCUCAUUUAAAUAUUACUCAUUUCGCUGUGUAAAGGACUCUUAAUAGCUGCACUGAAAACAAACUGAACUGCUACCUCUGAGAUUUUGAGCAAAGACACUUCAGCUUUUCCCAUACCUUCAACAAUAGAGACAGCCUUGUUGGUGUCUGAAAAACAUUCUGUCCUUCUAUCAGCUCUGCUGUAAGUAUGCAUAGUUCACUGAAAGCUGGCACUUUGUAUAUCCCGAGCAAAGUUUGCAUCAUAUCAAGCUACUGAGCUUUAAGAAUGGGAUGUUUCCCAACCUUUAUCAAUUAAUCCUGCACCAAUUACCCUAGAUGAGUUCAAAUAUAGGGUACUGAGUGUAGUAAAGGAAAGUAUUUGAAUUCUUUGCUGCUUAGCUUCAUGAACAUGUGACAAUUCUUAGGGACAAUCCAGUAGCAGUCACGCUGGGGAGAGCUGGGGAUAGGGGCACCACAGGAGGGAGACCUUCUGAUGUCUGAAAUGAAUCCAACCUCAGAGUUGCACAUGAGAUGAAUGUCAUCGCACCCAUCAUAAUAAGACCUGUUAUCUAGCAACCAAUCUUUUUAUGCCUUGUAAAACAAUUCUUUAACAGGCCUCAAUUCCUUGCUUUCCUGCAUAAUUUCAAGAAUAUCAAAACCUGAAGUACAAGCCCCCACAUCCAGCUGUAACUGUGAGGAAUAAGUACCAGAUUAGAUUUGGUAUGGCUGAAUUGUAUGGACAACUCGUUUGAGAAAAGGUCUAUGCUGCAAGGUCUCUGCCUGGAAAUACAAAACCAGAAGUCAUGGGACAUAAACAGUAACUUCACUCGUGAAACUUUAAGAUGAUUGGACCCAGAUCCUUACUUGCACAAAACCAGAGCAGCGGAGAAUAACUACAUUUCCAUUGGAGUUCCAGGACAGGACCAUGUGGUAGCUCCAUGAAUUUUAGUUCUGCUACAAUUCCUCUAUUUGCUAAGUUUUGCUCCUAUACUGCACCUUUACAUCCUCAUUUGUAAAAAACAAACAUUUUUUAGCUGCUUCAGAGCUUUAGAGUAUCUAAUCCGUAGUGAGUUGAGCAACUUCUUUAAAUUUGCAACUCUGAAGGAGUUUUACCAACCUGAGAAAAUGCUGUGUUAGUGAAAUUAAGAUUAAAAAUAUAUUCAUGCCCCAUAAUUAGUAAUUUUGGGCAUGAUAUCAAGGCACUUUAAAAGCAACACUUACAAAAAAAAAAUUUCAUAGUGAAAACAUUGAUCAGGUUUUUGUCUUAAAGAAAAAACUGUUAAGAAAAAGUACUAUGCUUCAUUUCCAACUGAUUAACACAAUGAAAUCAGCAAAAUAAAAAUGGAAGUUAAGAUAGCAACAUUAACAUGCCUUUCUCUGUCAUUCUGUGCUAUAAAGAAACUGGAUAAAAUCAGGCACAGGUCAGGCACAAAAAGGCAAACAGGGCCAUGAAAAAUCUUGAGAAAAGGUCUGUGUAUUUCUGGUUUACUGCUUGGACACCCCAGAGGACAGACGUGACUCAUGGCAGUCCUGAACAAAAGAGGUUUUCACCUUUCUACUAAACUAGACUGAUUUUAAAACCACUUAAGUGUUAGAGUCCUACCUAACAACUGUACGUAGCUUUGCAAUGAUAGAAAAAACAGCAUGAUCUAUGGCUCCUUGCUGUCCUGUACUGAUGAGCACUGACAGCAAUUUCCCAUGACACAGCAGAGGAUGACUAACGAUCAAAAUUGGAAAAAUAAUUUCACCACUGGCCACAAAAGCAUUUUCAACAGUUCAGAAGCUGAACAGAAUCUAUCCAAUCAUGGGCCUAUUAAAAAUCAGUAAGUCACAUUCUGGAAACAAAGACAGGUAAAUACUGAAGAGACCAAAAUAGCUGAGAAUGAGGCAAAGAAAGGCUUCAGAGAACUCAGCUGUGGAACAGAGAAACAAAAAGGUCUGUGCCACUCUUACACUGCUUACACUAAUGAGACAGUUUUCAUAUUCCCAUUGUAUAUGACAGCAAAUUGGUGACUGGUGCACAACGUCUCAAAAUAAUCUAGAAUUUAGUCAAAGCUGCAUGUCAAAAUACAAUGACCUGUUACUCAAACUACAGAGACCCAGAAGCAUACGAGCUGUGACAGGUUUCGACAGAGGAACAACUGUAGCUGGUUUCUUACUUGAUUGUAAAGAAAUUAAAAUGCAACUUAGAAAGUAAGCGUAUAACAUACAUAUUUGCACAAUCAGCUACCAUAGUACAAGUGACAUUAACUUUCAUGGACUACAGUUACACACAUCUGUGAAGCCCUACACUGACCAGGCUCCACUUCACAACUGACUGUCUCCCUACCACUCCUGAAAUCAACGCUCUCAGACAACGAGCUCAAUUUUUAACUAUACCAUUCAUGUAAUGAGAGUGUUCUGGUUCUGAUGGAGACUCCUGGACACAACAUUCAUGUUAAUAUUAAAUGAAAAAGACAGCAGAACUGUCUGCAUCAAAAAGAUGUUUUCUUUACAUAGCUGUACAGCUCCUGGUGGUAUGCUACAUAAUUAUCUCUGCCACCAGAUAUUACUCCCACACAACAACAAAAUCAACCAGCAAAACCCCUGCCAAAGAAUCCAGAGCUAAAAGCAAAGCCCGUAGCCAUAGACAGUUUCAUUUCCCUGUGCAGGAACGCCUGUUUGCAGGAAGGCAAUCUGCCACUUGAGCCUCAUAAGCUUCUACACUACUUGUUGAAUGAGAAAACGUGAAUGAGAUUCUUCCAAGUUACUGAAUUGCUGGAAAAGAAACCAUACACAUUCAUUUUUCAUGAUGACUACUGGGAUAUUCCAUUGAUUAAAGAGAUUACCAGCUCAGCUCUAAUAUCUACCCAUGUUUCAGUAGUUGUUUCUCAUAUGUUACAGGCAAAGUACUUCAUUUUAAGGACUUGUUUUUUCCAUAAAGCUAUCUGUUUGCACUGAUACCAGCUUUAAUAAAGUCAGAAGAUAUUAAAGAGUAGAACUGUGUUAUUACAGUAGUUGACAAGAUUCAUUUGGAAGCAAUUUAAACUAGCAGAUAAAGGUUACUUCACUCAGCAGAAUAUUGAAUUGCUACUCAAGAACAAAGCUAGUCCCAAAAGAAAGUUUUAUUCAAUUCUCAAUAACAAGAAUCUAAUAAGCCACUCUCCUGUUUUUGCAACCCACAAAAGAAUACUGGCAUAUUCCAUACCCUGAUCACAAU
Molecule: long non-coding RNA, 14568 nt
Organism: Gallus gallus (chicken)
Lineage: Eukaryota; Metazoa; Chordata; Aves; Galliformes; Phasianidae
Exons: 3
Source: RefSeq, a predicted model, not a curated record